This 1522-nucleotide ribosomal RNA is filed under the name metagenome. RNAcentral describes it as "bacterial SSU rRNA". It matches the Rfam family "Bacterial small subunit ribosomal RNA". The record is from RNAcentral.
AGAGUUUGAUCAUGGCUCAGAUUGAACGCUGGCGGCAGGCCUAACACAUGCAAGUCGAACGGUAACAGGAAACAGCUUGCUGUUUCGCUGACGAGUGGCGGACGGGUGAGUAAUGUCUGGGAAACUGCCUGAUGGAGGGGGAUAACUACUGGAAACGGUAGCUAAUACCGCAUAACGUCGCAAGACCAAAGAGGGGGACCUUCGGGCCUCUUGCCAUCAGAUGUGCCCAGAUGGGAUUAGCUAGUAGGUGGGGUAACGGCUCACCUAGGCGACGAUCCCUAGCUGGUCUGAGAGGAUGACCAGCCACACUGGAACUGAGACACGGUCCAGACUCCUACGGGAGGCAGCAGUGGGGAAUAUUGCACAAUGGGCGCAAGCCUGAUGCAGCCAUGCCGCGUGUAUGAAGAAGGCCUUCGGGUUGUAAAGUACUUUCAGCGGGGAGGAAGGGAGUAAAGUUAAUACCUUUGCUCAUUGACGUUACCCGCAGAAGAAGCACCGGCUAACUCCGUGCCAGCAGCCGCGGUAAUACGGAGGGUGCAAGCGUUAAUCGGAAUUACCGGGCGUAAAGCGCACGCAGGCGGUUUGUUAAGUCAGAUGUGAAAUCCCCGGGCUCAACCUGGGAACUGCAUCUGAUACUGGCAAGCUUGAGUCUCGUAGAGGGGGGUAGAAUUCCAGGUGUAGCGGUGAAAUGCGUAGAGAUCUGGAGGAACACCGGUGGCGAAGGCGGCCCCCUGGACGAAGACUGACGCUCAGGUGCGAAAGCGUGGGGAGCAAACAGGAUUAGAUACCCUGGUAGUCCACGCCGUAAACGAUGUCGACUUGGAGGUUGUGCCCUUGAGGCGUGGCUUCCGGAGCUAACGCGUUAAGUCGACCGCCUGGGGAGUACGGCCGCAAGGUUAAAACUCAAAUGAAUUGACGGGGGCCCGCACAAGCGGUGGAGCAUGUGGUUUAAUUCGAUGCAACGCGAAGAACCUUACCUGGUCUUGACAUCCACGGAAGUUUUCAGAGAUGAGAAUGUGCCUUCGGGAACCGUGAGACAGGUGCUGCAUGGCUGUCGUCAGCUCGUGUUGUGAAAUGUUGGGUUAAGUCCCGCAACGAGCGCAACCCUUAUCCUUUGUUGCCAGCGGUCCGGCCGGGAACUCAAAGGAGACUGCCAGUGAUAAACUGGAGGAAGGUGGGGAUGACGUCAGGUCAUCAUGGCCCUUACGACCAGGGCUACACACGUACUACAAUGGCGCAUACAAAGAGAAGCGACCUCGCGAGAGCAAGCGGACCUCAUAAAGUGCGUCGUAGUCCGGAUUGGAGUCUGCAACUCGACUCCAUGAAGUCGGAAUCGCUAGUAAUCGUGGAUCAGAAUGCCACGGUGAAUACGUUCCCGGGCCUUGUACAAACCGCCCGUCACACCAUGGGAGUGGGUUGCAAAAGAAGUAGGUAGCUUAACCUUCGGGAGGGCGCUUACCACUUUGUGAUUCAUGACUGGGGUGAAGUCGUAACAAGGUAACCGUAGGGGAACCUGCGGUUG